Non-coding RNA from Mycena leptocephala, 92 nucleotides. NCBI's taxonomy places the organism in Eukaryota, Fungi, Basidiomycota, Agaricomycetes, Agaricales, Mycenaceae. The record is from the annotation of a GenBank genome assembly.
GCCCUCGUGGAUCAUGGUUGAUCAUCUUCAUCUAGUCGCAGACACUUCUCUUCUUUAUGAAGACGUUGUAGGUUCGAAUCCUACCGAGGGCA